AACAGAUUUUCUUUUAUUUAUUCCAUAAACAAUAUACCAAAACUCAGCAUGUUAACAAUGUGACAUUUUUCACCAUACAGGAUCAAUCACAAAUAUUGAAAAACUUUUCAACAAGAACAACAAAACCUCAAAUCUUACAAGAAUAAUUUACAAGAGAAUCUAUAAAACAGCAAAGAGCUCACAAAAUUCUCAAUGAAUCUUUACACGAAAUCACUACACUCUUUCACAAUAUUUGUUUUAUUACAAAAUUUCCGACAAAAUGUACUUUUUUUUUCUUUGUAUUUUGGUUUUUAAAACCAGAAACCUUUAAGUAUAUAUCCUUUUAAGAACACCCCAGGGUGCCAAAAAAAGGAAUACCCACACAUACGGACACUUCACAGCACUUCUCUAAGAAAAAUAUACACUUACAAAAUAUAUUACAAAUUGGCACACUUAAAAAUAUACAAGUUUUUGUAGGCGUUAUUAGAGUGAUCCCUUAAAGAAUUAUACUUCGAUUGAUUCUACAGAUAUUUAUAAAGCUUAUUCUAAAAGAAAUAAAGGCAAAAUCAAUAGCAUUGCAGAAGUUAAUGUUCUUACAUUCAUAUAAGGGGACUGUUAAGAUUUAAUGUAAUACUUGGAGAGGAAACUGCAAACCAGAAUGAUUCGUAGCACCUUGAAUUCCUUUUUGUGCUAGGAGGUUGUCAACAGUGAUGCAAUGGACACCUCUCCAGCAACUCUCAGGUCAAACCAAGAAAACGAAAAGGUUCAUGCAAUAAUAAAGAAAUUAAAAAGCAAUACAUUCAAAUCUCUGUAGGCAAAAGUAGCAGAAUCUAGAAGGCCAGCAGUACACAUACUGUACAUCACUUUAGAGUUUACGUGUUUAUUAUGGAAUCUUCUGAUAUAGGAGUAUUCUUUGCAGAGGGAAGGGACAAAUGCAUUCCUUCAAAAUAUAUAAUGAGCAGGGAGCGAGUUUUAAUCAAGUAGAAAACAGGACAUGUUAUUGUAAAGGGGAAGCAAAGGAUUCUGGGAUCUGUAUACCAUCCAUAUUUACUUGCAGUGCUAAAACAGGUGAUUGUUUGCUAGGCAGACAAGAUAUUUAUCUGACUGUUAUAUGUAGUGCACAUAGAACAGGACAGAUAUUAAAAUCAGACAAAUUAUAUGACUUGUAUCUAUUCAAUAUUCAAUAUAAUUUGGGGGUGAAAAAAAAUACAGACAAGUGCACUAUAAAAAUAACAGUUAUGGACAUUUUAAGAAAAUUCAACAUUGUGCAUAAGUUACACACAGUUUUGUCUCAUGAUUGGUUCUUUCUGUUUAAAACAAAAAUGCAGAUGGGGCCAAGUCGGGAGUCCUUUAUUAUCAAAUCAAAAGAUGGAGAUUGUAAGUCGAUAUCUUAUCUCAUUCUGGUGCCUGAGGGUUUCUCUUUAGGGUAAGUGCGAAAAGACUGCUCACUAACCAAGAUAUCGGAGCUAAGCACGGAGUAAUGUGCUUGUCUCUAUAGCAUAUGCCUCCAUCUGCCUAGCUGUGGAUAGGGCCGGAUGAGAAAACUGUGUGUAACCUACAAUGAACACAGUGUUCUUAAAACUGGCUGCUUAAACAUCACUUUGGCUUCUAUAAAGGACCCCAGUAAUUUUUAAGGUUUACUGGUUCUUUAAUAAUGUGUCGAACACCCCUCAGUUAUGACAAGGCUAAUACAAAAUGGUGGGUCUGUUUAGGAAAAAUUGUAAAACGAGCAAGUAGAAAAUUCAUCAUAGACGCAAAAAUCCAAUGAAUGUGCAUUUAUUGGGAAACUUUAUGUCUCCAUCUAAGUAUAAUAUAAUCUAGUAACUUUAUAUGUAAAUAUAAAAGGCUAGUGAUUUAUUUCUAUAUUUAAUAUGGUUAUUUUUGCUUUAAAUAAACAGGUUUGAUUUUCAAGGUUUUCUAUGGCACAAUUAGGGAAAUGUUUGUAUAACCCCUACUGUAAAAGGGUGCAUCAAGUUUUCAAUUGUACAUUUGUUUUAUAGUGCUACAGUUUAUUUUUGGCAUCAGUCAAACCACUGGGUUUGUUUUCGAAAAAUCCUUACCCACUUUAAAAAAGGCAAAAAAACAAACAAAACAAAACAAAAAAAACACUCAAAAAAAUCUGUGGAAAUGUCCCAAACCUGAGAAUGUCUUGCAGCUCAAAAGUAGAACAAACAUAACACACAAAAUACCAAUAGUGAUUAUGAAUUUUAUAAUAACCAGCUGAUCAUUUGUGAACAUCAAUAUUCCUCCAGAUUAUAAUCGGUUAAUUUCUUCGUAAUAUGAGGCUAUGGAAACUGGCAAUGGAAAACCGCUGUAAACAAAGGGUUAUAAAUGCAUGGAGUUGUCAGAAAAGACAGAUUUGGCACAGAGUAGAACAUUUAAGAAAUUAAAAUCCAAAAAAUACCAAAAAACAAUAAACCGAACCAUAAAUGAAUCAAGAAUGUUAAAGAAAGGUAAUAGAUAAUAGACCAGAUUACUUUUAUGGAAAACAGUUCCGUAUAGUAAAUAGAAUUUCAAAUUGGGAUAAUAUUAAAAAUACUUUUGCUGCUGCGCGGGGUUGCAACAGAUCACUCAAUCAAUGAAUGGACAAUGCACACUCUAUGACACCUUGAAGACUAGUGAUGUCUAAUUUUUGUUGUCCUCGCAAUUGUCAUGAUGCGUCGGCCAAUCAAGUGGCUGGAUAAGCAUUACCGUGACUAUAAUCAGCUAGAGCAGCGGUAGGCAACUUUCAGCACUCCAGAUGUUAUGGACUACAUCUACCAUAAUGCUCUUACAGCCAGAAUGCUGGCAAAGCAUCAGAGGAGAUGUAGUCCACAAGAUCAAGAUCACUGGAGGUUGCUUUGAGACCAAACCUUAACCAUUGUUUACUGUCCAAACUGUCUGAAACCUUAUGAUUAAACAUAUGCAUGAGCAAUGUAAUCUUUUAUACAAAGAGUAUGGCAACUAUACCUGGCCCGUUGUAUUACCAAGAACAAAACAGAAUAUUGAUCAUAUCAUUACACAGGUAACUUUCCCUACUUUUGAAAAGUUUAGCAACUUGAGUUUCUAUAAAUUAGAUGAAAAUUUGCCAAUGCUUUUCAGUGUACUGAAAAUAUAAAUUAAGCAUUAUAAUCCUUUAAAAUGUGUUAUACCUCUUGCUUGGUUUAUAUAUAUAUAAACUCUCCUAAUAUGCACAUAUCUAUAUAUAAUACAUUCUACAAAAUAUAUUUCCUCAAGGCAGCAGCCAUUUUGUUUAUCAAGCAGGUUACACUAGACUUAGCUAGAGAACUUUUGUUCAAUUAUUCAUAUAUAAUAAUUACGUGAAAUCAGUGCAUUAACAGGGAUGCAGCAAUAUUCUUCCAUGCUAUUUAUGAUUUUACAAGUAAUAAUGAUAACAAGACAAUAGCUUCCACCAUAAAGAUCUGCUAAAUAAAAUGGCUGCUCCAUGUAGCCUUAUUUUGGUAAUGUAUUAUUAUUUAGCAUGUAGCAAUAACAAUGGUUCUAUAAAAGACUACACAUUAUUGAAGGCAAUUAAGCCUUUUUUUGUUUUGAAAUUUUACUUUAAGAUUCUCUGAGAAUAGCGAGGGUAUGUCUUUUUUUUUAGAGUUCAGUUCUAUCCAUGGCUCAUAAUCCUGUAUUGUUUUGUAUGAAUAAAAUAUAUAAUACCUGAGAAAUAGAUCUGAACGUCCCGUGUCUAGUCAGAUAGUGUAGUUGCUUCACUAAAACAUUUUUACAUUAUAUGCUGUUUUAACAAAUUAAUGAAGUUACGGACAUCAAUGAAUGCUCCACAGUAAAUGCAGUAAAUGGAGAAAUCUUUCAAAAUGUGCAUCCACUCCACUGUGUAAACCUUGCCUAUCGGGACCUAUCGGUGCAUGACAGCAUCUUACAUAUUGUAGUUUAUAAAUAUCUGCAGUCACAAACUUAGAAUUCACUGAAAUAGAGCAUCAUGCAAACAAUACCAAUUCUUUCACAUGAUGAGAAGGAUUGUUUUGGCAGUAACUGCAAAAAAGUAUGGCGUUUUCAAUGCAGUUUGAAGGGCAGAUAAAAAUAAGCUCAUUUGAGUGUCAUAGCUUUCCUGUAGCUUUCUGUUAGAGAAUAAAGACUCCUUACACAUUAAUCUGACCCUCUAGUAAGACUUCAAUUUCUGAAAAAGAAUAAUGAAAACUACUUCUGCAAGUAGAUUUGCAUUUACCUGGAGAAGAGGUCUACAUUCAUUUUUUUCAAUGGAUGAAACAUGCCAAUAGGGUCUCUUGGCCAUGCAUUUAGUUCUGUUCAUUUCCCCAUAACAUACUGGCCAUCCAGAGUGGAUGUGGAGAUUUACGACAAGGGAGGAGCAUUCAAUCGUUAGUUUGCUUUAAAUUUGUUUACUAAUGUAUUAUCUCUGUAACGAUACAUUCACCAUAUUAAAGUCUUCCGUGCUUAAGCAAAGUUUAGACGGGAGAGACACAGGUUGUUAUUGAAAUAAAAAAAGUAAUUACUUAAUUGAUAUAUAUUAUUAUAGAACUUUGAUAUUCUCCACCUAUUUUUGCUGGCACAAGUCCAGUCUAGCAUACACAUAAUCCAAAACUGAUGAAAGUUUAUAUAGUUCUGUCUCUUUGGCCUCUUCUCAGCCAUGACUAUCUGGUCAGUAGCUGCAGAUGUACCUUAUAUACACAACUAACCUACUGCAUGAUAAAUCACCUACAAAGUUUUUUCAUUUUUCAAAAAAACAAUGUAAUGACUGAGCAAUAAGUUGAUUUGCUCAUCCAUUCGCAACUCAAUGACUAGAUGUCACCUACUCAUAAACAAAUAGCAUAGCUAUUUCUUAGGUAGUUAAAGAGCACAAUACUUAAAGGAACACUCCGAGCACCCUUACCACUGCAGCAUUUUAGAAUGGUGUGACUUCUUACCUGUGAUCUACCUGGCUCUGCCCUCUUCAGCCUCCAGGUGAUCCUGUUAGGAGCUGCUGUUAGCUUUUCUGAGUUAAGCCCUGCAAAACAGAGCCAUCUCUUGCUGAACUACAACUCCCAUGAUUCUUUGACUGAAAUAGAUUGCCAGAGAAUCAUGGGAAUUGUAGUUCAGCAACAUCUGGAGGGUCAGAGUUUGGAGAACCCUGGCUUAGAGCAUCAGCAAAUUGCUCUCUGCCAAUGAGCUCACCAUGAUACUUAGCUCAGGCAGAGCGCUUCUGGCUCUCCUGGAGGCUGCAGAGAGGCAGAGAGUAGCAGCUUAGAGCACCCUGGUUAAGAAGUACAACUGUUCUAAAACGCUUUCAUUACUUACAUUGGAGAGGGUGCAGGGCACUCCUUGCACCAUAACCAGUACACUGUGCUACAGUGGUUAUGGUGUUUGAAGUGUUCCUUUAACUAACACCAAUAAAAUAAAAACAUAUUCAUUUAUUUUGUGAUUACACUAUACAAAUGACACAUCUAAGAGAUGCAAUGCCUGUAGACUGACUGUGUAUCAGUGGAUAUUUAGUUCACAAAACUUUGGUGCCACAUUUAACUAUUACUGGAGUAAUCAAUUGAACAGUAAAUAAAUACAUAAUACAUAAAUAAUAUUUGGGGUACCUUAUUAUUUCUUUUUUUUUUUUUUUAAAUACCAGAUAUUACCAGUCUCUAGUGAAAGAGCCAUAUAUCACUAACAUAAAAAAACAAACCCAAAAAGAUGAACUAAUAUCAAUGAAAUGGAAUAUUGUAUUUAUUACUAACUGGGAUACUUAAUACACAGAUCUCAAUAGCGACUCCCGGCGAAACAGGAUGCUCAUGGGAGGGGUUAGAGGAGGUGGGGCACUGACUUACUGGCAGAUCAGCCUGCCAAUCAUACAGGCCAGCCCACUGAGAGCAGACCAUGCAGGGAGCACAGUUUCAGUGCACCCUGCAGGAUUCUAGUGCCCUGAGUGAAGAGAGAGAGAGAGAAUCUAAUGACGCAUUGAGAUGUUCUGAAUUUACUGCUGAUGUGCAAGAUUUUCUUCACAAUGUUGGAAGGUAGGAUCUCUGGACAAAGACUAAGGUGGAGGACUAGGCCAUAACUAGGGGCAGGUCCGACUAGGGUAUAAAAAAAUGAGAAUACUAUCUGAAGUACAGCCCACUCAUUUUGAAACACUGAUUGUACAGGUUAAUCUAUUAAAUGAUAUCUCACGGUACUUAAAAAAACAACAUAGCUUAAUAUUUGAAGAAAAAACAAAAAUAAACAACCAAAGCUUUUCUCAUACAUUGCAAAAGUAAUGCCUUGGGAAUAGGAUCCUUUACUUAUAUUACUGAAGCCUUAUAUACAAAAUUGUGCCUUCAUUUAAAUUCCCAUGAACAUGUACAUAUUGUAAGAAUUAUAUAGAUAUCUAGAUUGUAAACAAUAGUUAAUAGAGAUAUCAUAGCAUUUCACACAUUGCACCAACGCCCUGAUAUAAAUAUAUUGCAGUUAAACAGUAAGUAUGUAUUUGUAUGUACAUACAGUAUUGUAUGUAUUUUUAUAUAGGAUAUGCUAAAGAGUCAGUAAAGACUGAACAUAAAGUGGUUUCUGAAAGAAAUGUGGUUAUAAAAUAGGUUGACCAAAUUAGUCCUUAAAGGGAAACUGUCAGUCUUCGGAAAUUAAAUGAAAUUCAUCUCUAACUUGUGUUAAUUAUUUUUUUUUCAUGUGAUGCUUUGUUUCCUUUUGAAUCUAAGAAAUAAGCAGGUUAAAUCAGAAUCGAACAAGAAUUGGAAAAAUUGUUUUAUGUCUCCUCUUCUCUGAAUGCAUUCUAUACCGCCAGAUACAAAGGUUAGGUCAGAGCUUAUAACAAUGGUUGACAGGAGACAAGGUGGAGAUCAGUUGCAGAAUAAAGAAGUAUGGAUUUCUACAUUAAAUUUUAUUUUUCACACCUCACAAGUACAUAUUUAUUAAUAUAGCGGCUAAGUAAACAUAGUACUAAAACUCCUGGAAAGAGACAGUUCCUCUUUAAAGAGGGAGUCUUAUAAGAUAGAUACAUCCUACAGGAUGGCACUGAUUAGUAAUGCAACACUGUAGUAUACAUUUUAAAAAAAUCUCCUUCACUCUAAACAGUAAUCUAGGGUAGGUCUAAUACAUUAAAUAGGUAGUUUUGCUAAUAAUGGUUAAAACAGAAGCAGUAUCACCUCUACUGUCCUCCAAGAACUGUCUGGUUCCAAAGUGGUCACUGGUAGAUGUUAGACUUGUGCAUUCGUUUUCUCCCUAAUUAAGGGUGAUUGGCAACUCAUUUGAAUUUUACAAACUCCGAAACUACAUAAAGAUAAAUCAUAAAGCAAACAAAAUGGACAAUGGACAGGAUGUUUAAUUUGAUUUGUGAUUCGGAGUUCGAUCUGUGGCACCAAAAAUCUAAUAUUUUAUGGAAAAAAAUGGUUAGGGGCCAGACAUUAAAUGUUGAUUUUAUUCACAGAUGAAAUGAGAAG
This 7337-nucleotide long non-coding RNA is filed under the name Pelobates cultripes (western spadefoot toad). The record is from RNAcentral. Lineage: Eukaryota; Metazoa; Chordata; Amphibia; Anura; Pelobatidae.